This 892-nucleotide ribosomal RNA is filed under the name Thelonectria discophora. RNAcentral describes it as "eukaryotic LSU rRNA". It matches the Rfam family "Eukaryotic large subunit ribosomal RNA", at positions 40 to 961 of the family's 3401-position model. Lineage: Eukaryota; Fungi; Ascomycota; Sordariomycetes; Hypocreales; Nectriaceae. The record is from RNAcentral.
AUAUCAAUAAGCGGAGGAAAAGAAACCAACAGGGAUUGCCCUAGUAACGGCGAGUGAAGCGGCAACAGCUCAAAUUUGAAAUCUGGCCCUCGGGUCCGAGUUGUAAUUUGUAGAGGAUGCUUUUGGUGCGGUGCCUUCCGAGUUCCCUGGAACGGGACGCCAUAGAGGGUGAGAGCCCCGUCUGGUCGGACACCAAGCCUCUGUAAAGCUCCUUCGACGAGUCGAGUAGUUUGGGAAUGCUGCUCUAAAUGGGAGGUAUAUGUCUUCUAAAGCUAAAUACCGGCCAGAGACCGAUAGCGCACAAGUAGAGUGAUCGAAAGAUGAAAAGCACUUUGAAAAGAGAGUUAAACAGUACGUGAAAUUGUUGAAAGGGAAGCGCUUAUGACCAGACUUGGGCCCGUCGGAUCAACCUGGGUUCUCCCGGGUGCACUCCUUCGGGUUCAGGCCAGCAUCAGUUCGGCGCGGGGGACAAAGGCUUCGGGAAUGUGGCUCCCCUCGGGGAGUGUUAUAGCCCGUUGCGCAAUACCCUGCGCUGGACUGAGGACCGCGCUUCGGCAAGGAUGCUGGCGUAAUGGUCAUCAGCGACCCGUCUUGAAACACGGACCAAGGAGUCGUCUUCGUAUGCGAGUGUUCGGGUGUUAAACCCCUACGCGUAAUGAAAGUGAACGCAGGUGAGAGCUUCGGCGCAUCAUCGACCGAUCCUGAUGUUCUCGGAUGGAUUUGAGUAAGAGCAUACGGGGCCGGACCCGAAAGAAGGUGAACUAUGCCUGUGUAGGGUGAAGCCAGAGGAAACUCUGGUGGAGGCUCGCAGCGGUUCUGACGUGCAAAUCGAUCGUCAAACAUGGGCAUGGGGGCGAAAGACUAAUCGAACCUUCUAGUAGCUGGUUUCCGC